GUCCUGGCCCUAAACGAUGUCCACUAGAUCGCAGUGCCUCUGACGGCUUUGCGGUCGAAGCAAAAGUGCUAAGUGGACCGCCUGGGAAGUACGGUCGCAAGGCUAAAACUCAAAGGAAUUGACGGGGGCUCACACAAGCGGUGGAGCAUGUGGUUCAAUUCGAAGCAACGCGCAGAACCUUACCUGGGCUUGACAUGCUUGGAUUAUCCCCGUGAAAGCGGGGUAGGCCCUUCGGGGUACAACAAGUACAGGUGCUGCAUGGCUGUCGU
Molecule: ribosomal RNA, 269 nt
Filed under: uncultured bacterium
Lineage: Bacteria
Description: partial 16S ribosomal RNA
Rfam family: Bacterial small subunit ribosomal RNA
Source: RNAcentral